CAUAUAGUCCCUUCGUCUGGAACUACUUGUCACAAAAAUGGAUAAAAAGGGUGUAUCUGGAACUAAAAUACGUCUAGAUACAUCCAUGUCUUCGAUAAGUAAUUCCAGGCAGAGGGAGUACCAU
Molecule: non-coding RNA, 124 nt
Organism: Triticum aestivum (bread wheat)
Lineage: Eukaryota; Viridiplantae; Streptophyta; Magnoliopsida; Poales; Poaceae
Source: Rfam